This 197-nucleotide unclassified non-coding RNA is filed under the name uncultured fungus. RNAcentral describes it as "sequence contains ITS1, 5.8S rRNA gene". The record is from RNAcentral. Lineage: Eukaryota; Fungi.
UCGAGUGAGGGUCUUCCGGCCCGACCUCCCAACCCUAUGUCUACCCGACCUCACGUUGCCUCGGCGGGCCCGUCCCCGGCGGACCGUCGGAGGAUGGCCUCCAAGCCUCCUCUGGCCCGCGCCCGUCGAGAGCCAUAACCCCAAACUCAUGAACAAAUCGUGCCUUAUCUCUAAGUACCCAAGCAAAAUAUAAAGCA